AGAAAGACCCUAUGAAGCUUUACUAUUAAUAGAUAUUGAAAAUAUAUAUAUAUAACAUAGAAUAAAUGGGAAGUAGUAAUAUUAUUUUUUUGGAAAUAAUGUAAUUGUUAAUGAAAUACCAUUUUAUAUAUAUAUAAAUUCUUAUAAAAUUUUUAUAACAAAAUUUUUAACAAUAUUUAUAAGAUAGUUUGACUGGGGCGGUCUCCUCCUAUAUAAAAACGGAGGUGUACAAUGUUAUAUUUAUUAUAUAAAGAUAAAUAUAUAAUUAACUGUAAAAUUUACAAAUUAAACAGAGAUUAAUGUCGGUCUUAAUGAUCCGAUAAUUAUUUAAUAAUAAAAUUAUCGCUUAACGGAUAAAAGUUACUCUAGGGAUAACAGGCUAAUCUUUUCCGAGAGUCCAUAUUGACGAAAAGGUUUGGCACCUCGAUGUCGGCUUAUCGCAUCCUAAGGCAGUAGUAUGUUUUAAGGGUAAGUCUGUUCGCCUAUUAAAGCGAUACGUGAGCUGGGUUCAGAACGUCGUGAGACAGUUCGGUCCAUAUCUAAUAUAAGUGUUAGAAUAUUGAAAUUAUUUUUUCUAGUACGAGAGGAUCGAAAAAAUUAUACCAAUGAUAUAUCAAUUAUUAUAUUUUGUAAUGUUGAGUAGUUAAGUAUAAAAUUUUAAUUGUUGAAGUAAUAUAAAUAAGAAAAUUUAAUUAAAAAUAAUAUUCUAAUCAUAUAAAUGAAUAAAACAAUAAUUAGAAAAAUUAUUUUAUAGAAUUAAUAUGUAUUUAUAGUAAUAUAUUUUGUGUAUAAUUCCUAAUAAGUUGAAUAUUUAAUUAU
RNAcentral lists this ribosomal RNA (819 nucleotides) under Plasmodium berghei. Its description in RNAcentral is "LSU rRNA". It matches the Rfam family "Bacterial large subunit ribosomal RNA", at positions 2082 to 2925 of the family's 2925-position model. The record is from RNAcentral. Lineage: Eukaryota; Apicomplexa; Aconoidasida; Haemosporida; Plasmodiidae.